This 515-nucleotide ribosomal RNA is filed under the name uncultured bacterium. RNAcentral describes it as "partial 16S ribosomal RNA". It matches the Rfam family "Bacterial small subunit ribosomal RNA", at positions 28 to 523 of the family's 1533-position model. The record is from RNAcentral.
GAUGAACGCUGGCGGCGUGCCUAAUACAUGCAAGUCGAGCGAAUGGAUUAAGAGCUUGCUCUUAUGAAGUUAGCGGCGGACGGGUGAGUAACACGUGGGUAACCUGCCCAUAAGACUGGGAUAACUCCGGGAAACCGGGGCUAAUACCGGAUAACAUUUUGAACCGCAUGGUUCGAAAUUGAAAGGCGGCUUCGGCUGUCACUUAUGGAUAGACCCGCGUCGCAUUAGCUAGUUGGUGAGGUAACGGCUCACCAAGGCAACGAUGCGUAGCCGACCUGAGAGGGUGAUCAGCCACACUGGGACUGAGACACGGCCCAGACUCCUACGGGAGGCAGCAGUAGGGAAUCUUCCGAAAUGGACGAAAGUCUGACGGAGCAACGCCGCGUGAGUGAUGAAGGCUUUCGGGUCGUAAAACUCUGUUGUUAGGGAAGAACAAGUGCUAGUUGAAUAAGCUGGCACCUUGACGGUACCUAACCAGAAAGCCACGGCUAACUACGUGCCAGCCGCCGCAGUAA